GAAAUGCGAUAAGUAAUGUGAAUUGCAGAAUUCAGUGAAUCAUCGAAUCUUUGAACGCACCUUGCGCCCUUUGGCUAUUCCGAAGGGCAUGCCUGUUUGAGUAUCAUGAACACCUCAACUCUCACGGUUUCUCGUGAUGAGCUUGGACUUGGGGGCUUGUUGGCCUGUGGUCGGCUCUCCUCAAAUGAAUUAGCUUGCCGGUGUCUGGCGGCAUCAUGGGUGUGAUAACCAUCUACGCUUGUGAUUGCCUGCGAGGUAAACCUCUGGCCUGCAGAGGUUCGCCGGAGCUUAUAGAUGUCUCUCCUCAGCGAAGACAGCUGUCUGAAGUUCGAUCUCAAAUCAGGUAGGACUACCCGCUGAACUUAA
RNAcentral lists this unclassified non-coding RNA (366 nucleotides) under uncultured Tomentella. RNAcentral's name for it is "sequence contains ITS1". The stretch from base 1 to 106 matches the Rfam family "5.8S ribosomal RNA", at positions 50 to 154 of the family's 154-position model. The record is from RNAcentral. Lineage: Eukaryota; Fungi; Basidiomycota; Agaricomycetes; Thelephorales; Thelephoraceae.